AUUGAACGCUGGCGGCAGGCCUAACACAUGCAAGUCGAGCGAGCGGCGGACGGGUGAGUAAUGUAUGGGGACUUCCCGCUAGAUGGGGAUAACUACUGGAAACUGUCUCUAAUAACGCAUACUAUCGGAUAACCCAUAUGGUAUUAGCUAGUAGGUGAGGUAACGGCUCACCUAGGCGACGAUCCCUAGCUGGUCUGAGAGGAUGAUCAGCCACACUGGGACUGAGACAAGGCCCAGACUCCUACGGAGGCAGCAGUGGGGAAUAUUGCACAAUGGGCACAAGCCUGAUGCAGCCAUGCCGCGUGUAUGAAGAAGGCCCUAGGGUUGUAAAGUACUUUCAGUCGGGAGGCGUUACCGACAGAAGAAGCACCGGCUAACUCCGUGCCAGCAGCCGCGGUAAUUC
This 403-nucleotide ribosomal RNA is filed under the name uncultured bacterium. RNAcentral's name for it is "partial 16S ribosomal RNA". It matches the Rfam family "Bacterial small subunit ribosomal RNA", at positions 30 to 526 of the family's 1533-position model. The record is from RNAcentral.